Molecule: ribosomal RNA, 496 nt
Filed under: uncultured bacterium
Lineage: Bacteria
Description: partial 16S ribosomal RNA
Rfam family: Bacterial small subunit ribosomal RNA
Source: RNAcentral
AUGCACGCUGGCGGCGUGCCUAAUACAUGCAAGUCGAGCGAACAGACGAGGAGCUUGCUCCUCUGACGUUAGCGGCGGACGGGUGAGUAACACGUGGAUAACCUACCUAUAAGACUGGGAUAACUUCGGGAAACCGGAGCUAAUACCGGAUAAUAUAUUGAACCGCAUGGUUCAAUAGUGAAAGACGGUUUUGCUGUCACUUAUAGAUGGAUCCGCGCCGCAUUAGCUAGUUGGUAAGGUAACGUCUUACCAAGGCAACGAUGCGUAGCCGACCUGAGAGGGUGAUCGGCCACACUGGAACUGAGACACGGUCCAGACUCCUACGGGAGGCAGCAGUAGGGAAUCUUCCGCAAUGGGCGAAAGCCUGACGGAGCAACGCCGCGUGAGUGAUGAAGGUCUUCGGAUCGUAAAACUCUGUUAUUAGGGAAGAACAAAUGUGUAAGUAACUAUGCACGUCUUGACGGUACCUAAUCAGAAAGCCACGGCUAACUACGUG